AUCUCUGAAUAUUAUAUUUAUUCAGGGUAUACCUGUUGAAAUGGUAGCUGCGGGUGCUGAGCACAGUGCUGCUGUCACAGAAGCUGGUGAGGUGUAUGGCUGGGGAUGGGGACGAUAAGGAAAUUUGGGCUUAGGUGACAGAAAGGAUCGCUUAAUUCCCGAGAAAGCUUUGUCAAUUGAUGGUAUAAAAAUGGUUCUUGUUGCAUGUGGAUGGAGGCAUACUAUAAUUGUUACCUCUUCAGGGAGUAUAUAUACUUGCGGAUGGAGUAAACAUGGUCAACUGGGGCAUGACGAUUUUGAAGAUCACUUAACUCCCUUUAAGCUGGAAGCUCUUAGUGGCCAAAUCAUUUCUCAGCUAGACUGGCUUGCAAUGCUCGGAGCAAAAAGAAGACAAGCAAAGGGCAAGACAGAGAAUGGUGGAUGAAUGGAUGAAGUAUCACCAAUUGCCUCAACCUUUAAAGAAGCAAGUGAAGGAAGCUAUUCAAUCUGAAUGGAGCGCUACUCUAGGCACAAAUGAUGAAACUAUAUUAGAUUCACUCCCAUGGGUUACUUUCAGCGGCUGUCAAAUCAAAGACCAGAGCUAAGCCAGAGAAGGGCAGUAAGGUGAAGUACAUCCCAAAACAAAGAAGUGCUUAUUGAAACUCAUGGGAAUUUAUAGGUGGUAUAGCAAAUGUGCAAUUUUUCAUCUACUAUAUCUUACAUUCUUAGCAGAGGUUCAAUUUUAACAGCAGGUCUUCUGUCCGAAAAAUUUUGAGGGAAGUGAUUAUUUGGUAGUAAUCUUUUUUAUUUUCUGGUCACAGGAUGCAGUGAGGUUUUUUUUUAAUUUCCUUUUUCCCUCAAUAGGUUGAAAUUUUCUAUGUAAUAAAUUGGUUUUUUUAGUGUUAUUGCAGAUUUUACCCUCUGGCUUUUGGCUGGCAACAUAAGAUUUUACUCUUCUCUUGUAUCUUUGAAAUGUGAAAGUGUAUAGCUGCCAUAGCUUAAGAUGCUAGGACUAGUUGGGACCUAAACAUCAUUGUCAAAAAUUUCUAAUUUUUCCUCCUUUUCUUACGGAUCGGAUCGAUGGUAUCUGUGUAUAUAGGAUGAGUGCUUUCUUCAUGUCCCCAUCUUAUGGGUGUUUCAAAUUCGAAAGGUGUUGCUGAUAUUGAGGGUAAGAUAACUAGUUAAGUUGAUGGCUUGGGUAUGUCAUAUGUGAGAAGUUUACUAGAUUAUGCACCGGUAAGGGUAGUAGAAUGUUGGGAUUUAGAAUAUUUAAGAAGUUGGGGAAGGCUAGUAAAAGUGUUAAGAAAUUAUGUUUGGUGGAGCACAUUGCACUUGACAGAAGAGAAUGGGUACAAAUAAUCUGUGGACUUGUUCCUGUUGCAAUUAAGGCUUUGCAUUGUUUGUUUGGGUGUAUCAGAUUACUUGUAAAAUCCCUUUAUGAUAUACCUCUUCAUCUUCUUUUUUGUCCUUUUCUAAAAUCCGUGCCAUCUUUUCUAGUAGUAUUUUUUUUACUCUCUAUCAGAAUAAGUGUAUACUAAUUUUUUUUUAGACACA
Beta vulgaris subsp. vulgaris (sugar beet) is the source of this 1533-nucleotide RNA transcript. RefSeq lists it as uncharacterized. Lineage: Eukaryota; Viridiplantae; Streptophyta; Magnoliopsida; Caryophyllales; Amaranthaceae. The record is from RefSeq and is a predicted model, not a curated record. The transcript has 3 exons.